ACCUGCCUGUAAGACUGGGAUAACUCCGGGAAACCGGGGCUAAUACCGGAUGGUUGUUUGAACCGCAUGGUUCAAACAUAAAAGGUGGCUUCGGCUACCACUUACAGAUGGACCCGCGGCGCAUUAGCUAGUUGGUGAGGUAACGGCUCACCAAGGCAACGAUGCGUAGCCGACCUGAGAGGGUGAUCGGCCACACUGGGACUGAGACACGGCCCAGACUCCUACGGGAGGCAGCAGUAGGGAAUCUUCCGCAAUGGACGAAAGUCUGACGGAGCAACGCCGCGUGAGUGAUGAAGGUUUUCGGAUCGUAAAGCUCUGUUGUUAGGGAAGAACAAGUACCGUUCGAAUAGGGCGGUACCUUGACGGUACCUAACCAGAAAGCCACGGCUAACUACGUGCCAGCAGCCGCGGUAAUACGUAGGUGGCAAGCGUUGUCCGGAAUUAUUGGGCGUAAAGGGCUCGCAGGCGGUUUCUUAAGUCUGAUGUGAAAGCCCCCGGCUCAACCGGGGAGGGUCAUUGGAAACUGGGGAACUUG
This 535-nucleotide ribosomal RNA is filed under the name Bacillus subtilis. RNAcentral describes it as "bacterial SSU rRNA". It matches the Rfam family "Bacterial small subunit ribosomal RNA", at positions 124 to 644 of the family's 1533-position model. Lineage: Bacteria; Bacillati; Bacillota; Bacilli; Caryophanales; Bacillaceae. The record is from RNAcentral.